UACGUAGGGGGCAAGCGUUGUCCGGAUUUAUUGGGCGUAAAGAGCGUGUAGGCGGCUUUACAGGUCCGUUGUGAAAACUCGAGGCUCAACCUCGAGACGCCGGUGGAAACCGUAAAGCUAGAGUCCGGAAGAGGAGAGUGGAAUUCCUGGUGUAGCGGUGAAAUGCGCAGAUAUCAGGAAGAACACCGGUGGCGAAGGCGGCUCUCUGGACGGUGACUGACGCUGAGACGCGAAAGCGUGGGGAGCAAACAGG
Molecule: ribosomal RNA, 253 nt
Filed under: uncultured bacterium
Lineage: Bacteria
Description: partial 16S ribosomal RNA
Rfam family: Bacterial small subunit ribosomal RNA
Source: RNAcentral